UAGGGAAUAUUGGUCAAUGGGUGAGAGCCUGAACCAGCCAUGCCGCGUGCAGGAAGACGGCCUUCUGGGUUGUAAACUGCUUUUAUCUGGGGAUAAAAAGCCCAUGCGUGGGACAUUGAAGGUACCAGAUGAAUAAGCACCGGCUAACUACGUGCCAGCAGCCGCGGUAAUACGUAGGGUGCAAGCGUUGUCCGGAUUUAUUGGGUUUAAAGGGUGCGUAGGCGGUCUAUUAAGUCAGUGGUGAAAUCCAACAGCUCAACUGUUGAUGUGCCAAUGAUACUGAUGGACUUGAGUACAGACGAGGUAGGCGGAAUUGACAGUGUAGCGGUGAAAUGCAUAGAUAUUGUCAAGAACACCGAUAGCAAGGCAGCUUGCUAGCCUGUAACUGACGCUGAGACGACG
This 402-nucleotide ribosomal RNA is filed under the name uncultured bacterium. RNAcentral describes it as "bacterial SSU rRNA". It matches the Rfam family "Bacterial small subunit ribosomal RNA", at positions 355 to 755 of the family's 1533-position model. The record is from RNAcentral.